UCUUAUUUUUACUAAAUAAAAAUAAAAAUCACCCUUUACACAGAACAAAAAUAGAAUUUACAAAUUUAAAGGACAUUGGAUAUUGCACAUUUUAAUUGAGAUUUUAUCAAAUGUUUUGUUUUUGGUUUUAGUGUCUUUGGAGCAUCUAAUUUCUCUUGAUGAAGGACUCGUACAGGGAGGUGAGCUGGGCCUGCAGGUCCUGUGCGUAGGGAUCCAGCUUUUCCUUCAGGUCUUCAGCGUAGGGUGUGAGACUCUGCUGGACCAUCUGGGCUCUCUCUCUAAUCUGGGCCUGAAGAUCCUCAGUCAAGGGGGUCACAG
This is a long non-coding RNA of Carassius carassius (crucian carp), 318 nucleotides long. RefSeq lists it as uncharacterized. Lineage: Eukaryota; Metazoa; Chordata; Actinopteri; Cypriniformes; Cyprinidae. The transcript has 2 exons. The record is from RefSeq and is a predicted model, not a curated record.